GGCUACAAUGGUUGGUACAAUGGGUAUCUACCCCGAAAGGGGACGGGAAUCUCCUAAAACCAAUCUUAGUUCGGAUUGAGGGCUGCAACUCGCCCUCAUGAAGCUGGAAUCCGUAGUAAUCGCGUUUCAACAGAACGCGGUGAAUACGUCCCUGCUCCUU
RNAcentral lists this ribosomal RNA (160 nucleotides) under uncultured Methanosaeta sp. RNAcentral describes it as "partial 16S ribosomal RNA". It matches the Rfam family "Archaeal small subunit ribosomal RNA", at positions 1179 to 1338 of the family's 1478-position model. The record is from RNAcentral. Lineage: Archaea; Methanobacteriati; Methanobacteriota; Methanomicrobia; Methanotrichales; Methanotrichaceae.